RNAcentral lists this ribosomal RNA (113 nucleotides) under uncultured eukaryote. RNAcentral describes it as "partial small subunit ribosomal RNA". It matches the Rfam family "Eukaryotic small subunit ribosomal RNA", at positions 1676 to 1785 of the family's 1831-position model. The record is from RNAcentral.
UCGCUCCUACCGAUUGAACGAUCCGGUGAAAUCUUUCGACCUGCGCCGAUGGAGGGUUCGCUCUCAUGUCGGCUCGGGGAAGUUGCUUAAACCUUAUCGUUUAGAGGAAGGAG